AGCAUGCAUGCUAUCACAUGGAGAUAGACUGCACACUUCCUCCUGUGGUCCAAUGUUGGUGGCAGUAUGCAGAUAAUAGUUUGGAGAUUUAAUCAAAAAUUUUUGAAUUU
Molecule: long non-coding RNA, 110 nt
Organism: Ipomoea nil (Japanese morning glory)
Lineage: Eukaryota; Viridiplantae; Streptophyta; Magnoliopsida; Solanales; Convolvulaceae
Exons: 4
Source: RefSeq, a predicted model, not a curated record